RNAcentral lists this ribosomal RNA (531 nucleotides) under uncultured bacterium. Its description in RNAcentral is "bacterial SSU rRNA". It matches the Rfam family "Bacterial small subunit ribosomal RNA", at positions 979 to 1509 of the family's 1533-position model. The record is from RNAcentral.
CCUUGACAUACUAAGAACUUUCCAGAGAUGGAUUGGUGCCUUCGGGAACUUAGAUACAGGUGCUGCAUGGCUGUCGUCAGCUCGUGUCGUGAGAUGUUGGGUUAAGUCCGCAACGAGCGCAACCCUUUUCCUUAUUUGCCAGCGGGUAAUGCCGGGAACUUUAAGGAUACUGCCAGUGACAAACUGGAGGAAGGCGGGGACGACGUCAAGUCAUCAUGGCCCUUACGGCCAGGGCUACACACGUGCUACAAUGGUCGGUACAAAGGGUUGCUACCUCGCGAGAGGAUGCUAAUCUCAAAAAGCCGAUCGUAGUCCGGAUCGCAGUCUGCAACUCGACUGCGUGAAGUCGGAAUCGCUAGUAAUCGCGGAUCAGAAUGCCGCGGUGAAUACGUUCCCGGGCCUUGUACACACCGCCCGUCACACCAUGGGAGUUUGUUGCACCAGAAGUAGGUAGUCUAACCGCAAGGAGGACCGCUUACCACGGUGUGGCCGAUGACUGGGGUGAAGUCGUAACAAGGUAGGCGUAGAUGA